RNAcentral lists this ribosomal RNA (115 nucleotides) under Candidatus Woesearchaeota archaeon. Lineage: Archaea; Nanobdellati; Candidatus Woesearchaeota. The record is from RNAcentral.
GAGGACGGCCAUAGUGGCUUGGUUCCACCUGAUCUCGUUCGAUCUCAGAAGUUAAACAGGCCAACGUCCUUGGUUGUACUGUAUUUUAUAUGGGAAGCCAGGGAAGCUGUCCCAC